This 497-nucleotide ribosomal RNA is filed under the name uncultured bacterium. Its description in RNAcentral is "partial 16S ribosomal RNA". It matches the Rfam family "Bacterial small subunit ribosomal RNA", at positions 28 to 507 of the family's 1533-position model. The record is from RNAcentral.
GAUGAACGCUGGCGGCGUGCCUAAUACAUGCAAGUCGAGCGAACAGACGAGGAGCUUGCUCCUCUGACGUUAGCGGCGGACGGGUGAGUAACACGUGGAUAACCUACCUAUAAGACUGGGAUAACUUCGGGAAACCGGAGCUAGUACCGGAUAAUAUGUUGAAUCGCAUGGUUCAACAGUGAAAGACGGUCUUGCUGUCACUUAUAGAUGGAUCCGCGCCGCAUUAGCUAGUUGGUAAGGUAACGGCUUACCAAGGCAACGAUGCGUAGCCGACCUGAGAGAGUGAUCGGCCACACUGGAACUGAGACACGGUCCAGACUCCUACGGGAGGCAGCAGUAGGGAAUCUUCCGAAAUGGGCGAAAGCCUGACGGAGCAACGCCGCGUGAGUGAAGAAGGUCUUCGGAUCGUAAAACUCUGUUAUUAGGGAAGAACAAAUGUGUAAGUAACUAUGCACGUCUUGACGGUACCUAAUCAGAAAGCCACGGCUAACUACGUG